CCUACGGGAGGCAGCAGUGGGGAAUAUUGCACAAUGGGCGAAAGCCUGACGCAGCGACGCCGCGUGCGGGAUGAAGGUCUUCGGAUCGUAAACCUCUGUCAGCAGGGAAGAACGGUCACUGUGCUAAUCAGCAGUGAAUUGACGGUACCUGCUAAGGAAGCACCGGCUAACUCCGUGCCAGCAGCCGCGGUAAUACGGAGGGUGCGAGCGUUAAUCGGAAUUACUGGGCGUAAAGCGCUCGUAGGCGGUAUGUCAAGUCAAGGGUGAAAUCCCCGGGCCUAACGGGGGAACUGCCUUUGAAACUAGCAAACUGGAGGUAGAUAGAGGAUAGCGGAAGUCCAGGUGUAGGGGUGAAAUCCGUAGAUAUCUGGAAGAACAUCAGAGGCGAAGGCGACUAACUGGGACAUAACUGACGCUGAGGGGCGAAAGCGUGGGGAGCAAACAGGAUUAGAUACCCGAGUAGUC
Molecule: ribosomal RNA, 465 nt
Filed under: uncultured bacterium
Lineage: Bacteria
Description: partial 16S ribosomal RNA
Rfam family: Bacterial small subunit ribosomal RNA
Source: RNAcentral